UAUAAAUAAAGGUCUCUAAAUCUUGAGAGCAUAACAGACUCUUAGAAUUGGCUGACCUGAAAUGGGAGAUAGGCCUCCCAGAGGCCAGUGGAGAUGGGUGGCUGGGAGGGAUCCUCAUCAUUUCUCUACAUUUUCUUAAUUGAAAACUAAGGAGGUGACAUAAUAGGGGCUCCCUCCCAUGCCACGCAUUUCUAUUGUUUCUGGGUUUCUCUCCCUUUUCCUUUCUUGCCAGCAUGUUGAAAUUUCAAUCCUUGCCUAUUCCAUAACUAUAUAUGCAGGUAUUUCUAAUUUUUUUUAUUCAUUUGUUAUAAUCUAUUUGUCAAGAUAUAUUUCCUAAUCACAAAGUAUUUAACUACUAAUAAUGACACUCAAUUUUACCCUCAUGCACUCCGAAUUGGAUAUUUCCAGUGAUAGGAAGUUAAAACUGAAGCCUUUUGGUAGUAACAUUUUAGAUCGACUAGGUGUACGAAACUGACCUAGCUUAUUCUUACCGAUGUAUAUUACAUGGUUCAUGUAUUCAUUAAACUUGUAAUCUACAUUUUUUUUAAAAACCCUCCCAACGGUUGAAGAGAUAGAAAAAAGAUCUAAAAGACGACAACAACCAAUUUGGAAUCUCAUUUGUUCAAUUCUUGCUUGUUACUUUUGUUGUCAAAUUUGUUGAGAUCUAUGCUUGUUCAACCUUCUUUCCAUGUGGGACUCUAGCAUCUGAAUUUUAAGAGUCAGUGCUAGCUCUAUAUUCUUCCCAUGCCUGUUGAAGUUGUACGGGGCAUGUAUACAUAUGCCCUUGAUCAAGAUAGAUCGUGCUUUGCGCUCAGAUACAAAUACAAGAUAAAACGAAGACUCAUCAUAAAUUAAAUAUUAGGUUGUGAGCUAUAUUAGUUCAGUCACAAAAUCAGUUAAGAACUGUUAGCACAUGAGAGCUACAUAAGAACUCCUUUCUAUUGUAAUCAGGAAUCAGUUUCGUUUCUCUCUAAAACCCAAAAAGAUUUUAGAAAAACACAAACAGUAGAUUUCAUGUUUGUAAAGACUGAGGAUUUGAAUUGUUUAUGGGAUCAUCAGUAUGUAUUUGUGUGUGUAUAAUAUAUAGAUGAAAGGGUGUGUAGAGGAAAAUAUCUGAAAUGUGGACAGAGUUUAAUGGAGACAAUUGGGUGGGGAUUGGAAAGAGGCAUAAGCAUUUGAGGGUCACAUGGUCUGUUUUCCAUCUCAAUCUCAAGAACUUGGUUGUUAUUAAGUCUGUAUGUUUGUUGGAGAACAUGAUGCCCGACAAUACAGGCUUCAGACAUAUCUGUCCAUAGAUUAGCAAUGUUUAGACCACAUCACUCUUGUAAUUAUAUAUUACUUACAUAUGUAUGCAUUACCUGCUAAGUGUCCAAUAAUCAAUCUUUAGACCAAAUUACUGGAUGGAAUAAGACGUAGGGAACGGUGUUUGUACAUGGGGAUACAGUUUGGUCAUUUGCAUGUGGAGAUGAUUUAUGUGAGUAGGAAGACAAACCAUGUUAUGUUUUGAUUUCUCACAAGCUAGUAUCCUUCAAUGGAGCCCAUCUCUGCUCCUCGAGACCGCUCAUUUCAUGCAGCAGGCCAUACUCUUUCAUCUAUAUAUACACAAGAGAUCAGGUUCAUAACCAGCACUCAAGUCUCUCUCCUUGCCAAGCAUCAAAGUCUUCUCUGUUUCCCAAGUCCUCUGAAUUCUUUUUCUUGUUCUAAUUUUCCACUUGAGAAUAUAAAAACCAUGGGAUUCCGGUUGCCAGGAAUUGUUAACUCCAAGAAGGGUCUAAACAAGGCUGCUACUUCAAAGACCUUAGACAUCCCAAAAGGCUAUUUUGCAGUGUAUGUUGGGGAGAGCCAGAAGAAGCGAUUUGUGGUUCCAAUAUCAUACUUGAAUGAACCUUUGUUCUUGGAUUUGCUGAGUCAAGCAGAAGAAGAAUUUGGAUAUGAUCAUCCAAUGGGUGGUAUCACAAUCCCCUGCAGUGAUGAAACCUUCAUUCAUCUCACUUCCCGCUUAAGUGUAUGAAUGAAGGCAAAUGAAGUGAAUCUGGUUCAUAUCCAAAUCAGCCUCAGUUCGAUCAGAAGAACUCGCCAUGUCAAGAUGAAGUAGAGGCUGUGAUUGAUCAUAUGCACAUUUUUCUGUUGCUUAUGAAUCUGGAAGCUUCUUUGAUGGUCAAACUGCUUGUGAGCUGAGCACGAAGUUACAAAAUUUGUGAAGCAGUCGAAUGGCGAUAUCAUGAACUCUCGAAGACUAUUGAGCCCAAAAUCAUAACUCCAAUUUUGAACUGGAUGACAAGAAGAUUUGUCUUUUAAGCCAUGUACAAUUCUUAAUGUUUUGUUCUCUGGGAAACAUGAGAAAAUAUAAUAUAUUUUGAUUCCUCA
This 2367-nucleotide long non-coding RNA is filed under the name Prunus dulcis (almond). RNAcentral's name for it is "sRNA ncRNA". Lineage: Eukaryota; Viridiplantae; Streptophyta; Magnoliopsida; Rosales; Rosaceae. The record is from RNAcentral.